This 229-nucleotide long non-coding RNA is filed under the name Rattus norvegicus (Norway rat). RNAcentral describes it as "long non-coding RNA NONRATT031416". Lineage: Eukaryota; Metazoa; Chordata; Mammalia; Rodentia; Muridae. The record is from RNAcentral.
UUUCUGACAGGAAGCUAAUGAGGCGCACUCAGUUCUAUACCGCACACAACUGCAGUAACGAGUUUGCAGCUUACGGGUUGCAGUGGACCAAAGGAAAAUGCUUCGUACAUUGAGCAAAAUAAAGAAAACCAGUUUUUUGAGAAUGAAACUGAAGAAAAGACGUGUGUAAGUGCUGUACUUUGCACAUACGAUGUGUCCUGUUCUCUAGAGAAGCCAUUUUCCAGUAGGA